Molecule: ribosomal RNA, 253 nt
Filed under: uncultured bacterium
Lineage: Bacteria
Description: partial 16S ribosomal RNA
Rfam family: Bacterial small subunit ribosomal RNA
Source: RNAcentral
UACGGAGGGUGCGAGCGUUGUCCGGAAUCACUGGGCGUAAAGAGCUCGUAGGCGGCUGCUCAAGUCGAAUGUGAAAACUCGAGGCUCAACCUCGAGCCUGCAUUCGAUACUGGGCGGCUAGAGUCUGGUAGGGGGAUCUGGAAUUCCUGGUGUAGCGGUGGAAUGCGCAGAUAUCAGGAGGAACACCGGUGGCGAAGGCGGGAUCCUGGGCCAGUACUGACGCUGAGGAGCGAAAGCGUGGGGAGCAAACAGG